RNAcentral lists this ribosomal RNA (497 nucleotides) under uncultured bacterium. Its description in RNAcentral is "bacterial SSU rRNA". It matches the Rfam family "Bacterial small subunit ribosomal RNA", at positions 66 to 543 of the family's 1533-position model. The record is from RNAcentral.
ACGCGGUUACUCCCGCAAGGGAGUGACUGAGUGGCGAACGGGUGAGUAACACGUGGGUGACCUACCUUCGAGUGGGGGAUAACGUCCCGAAGGGGACGCUAAUACCGCAUAACAUCCUGCCUUUGAACAGGCGGAGAUCAAAGCCGGGGAUCGCAAGACCUGGCGCUUGAUGAGGGGCCCGCGUCUGAUUAGCUAGUUGGUGAGGUAACGGCUCACCAAGGCGACGAUCAGUAUCCGGCCUGAGAGGGCGGACGGACACACUGGGACUGAGACACGGCCCAGACUCCUACGGGAGGCAGCAGUGGGGAAUUGUUCGCAAUGGGCGCAAGCCUGACGACGCAACGCCGCGUGGAGGAUGAAGGUCUUCGGAUUGUAAACUCCUGUUGCCCGGGACGAAUGGCUCCGACCUAACACGUCGGGGUGUGACGGUACCGGGUGAGGAAGCCACGGCUAACUCUGUGCCAGCAGCCGCGGUAAUACAGAGGGGGCAAGCGUUG